AAUAAGAUUAUUUUUCAGUUUUUUGAUAUAAUGUUUUGACUCUUCGUCUUAUGUGAAAUUUUUUCGAUUAAUGUUUUUAUUCUUACUAGAUGAUAAAACAUGAAUAGUUUUUUAUACGUGACUAUUUUUUUAAGUUUUUAUACAAAAUUUUCAAAUAAGACAAAUAGUCAAACAUUGGAACGGAAAAAAAAAGUUAUUAUGAGA
This 204-nucleotide microRNA precursor is filed under the name Oryza brachyantha (malo sina). RNAcentral's name for it is "MIR812 microRNA precursor family". It matches the Rfam family "MIR812 microRNA precursor family". The record is from Rfam by way of RNAcentral. Lineage: Eukaryota; Viridiplantae; Streptophyta; Magnoliopsida; Poales; Poaceae.